UCUUAAGUGCUAUUUGUUAAUACUUGAAUAAUAUGUGAUGUUUUAUUCUAGUUGAUUGAGUAUAAGAUUUAUUGUCUUAUUUGCGUUUCUUGUGAUUAAAUUAAAUGUGAAAAUGAUAAUUGUUUCGUUGUUAAUUGAAAUUGUGUAGAAUAUUAGAAUUUACUUUAUGCUACAUGAAUUCAUACAUGAUUUGAAUAUGUUAAUGGGAUGAAUAGUUUAAUUUAACUAUUUAUAGUAGAGUUUACGUGAAUUCUUAUGUAUGUCUACAUGUAUACUUUUAUGUGUAGUUCUUUAUGACAUGAGAUAAUUUUAGAACUAGUAUUAAUUUCCGAUGAUGUGAAUUUUAUCGAAAAUCUAACUGUUUUCUUUUGAGUAAGUGAAACAUAAUUUUAUCAAGUAAGAAGAGUAGAAUAUUAAUAGUAUAGUUAAGUGGAUUCUAUGAUAUGUUUGACAUAUGUUUUGUUCUAUAUGAUAUGUUCUAGAUUAUUGCUAGUUGACUUGUGCUUUUGGUUAUUUGUAAGUUAUAGUGAAUAACUAUGCUAUUUUCUAUAAGAUGAAUUUGAUAAAUGUGUUGUACAAGUUGACUAUUUUAUUUUGUCAUGUUAGUUAUCAUGUUACGAUAGAUAUAUUCUAUGCAUAUGUGAAUAUGAAUUGUUGAAUUUUUAAAAUUCAUUGCUAUGAAAUAUUUAUCUUUUCUUGUACUGAUUUGAUUCUCAAUUUUGAGAUUUAGAGAAGAUAUAUGUUUCUUGAAUGUCUAUGUGAAAUGCUAUGUUUUGCUUUUGUGCAAUUUUAUAUAAAUGUUCAUGUUUUGUAUUUUGUAGUUUACCCAUUGUAUGCGACAUGUGUGUAAACAUUGUCGAUACUAGUUUCUUUCGUGGGAGCUAGUUAGAGAACCGUAGAAGUCUCCAGUUAGGUAUGAGAGUUGAGAAUUACGAUAGGAGUUAUAAGUGGGUUUGAGAUAAGUGGGGGAGAAGGUUAAAUUCCUUUGAGAUGUUUAAGUGCAGAAGAAUAAGAUAGAUAGUGAUGUACGAAAGGAGAGCGUUCAUGUGUUGGUGUUGUCCAUUUCGGAGUUAGAUGAUUUGGAAGAACAGUUAGAAGACCGCUGGAGAAGAAGUUUGUCGGAUCGAUUGUUUUGCCAUGAAGAGCGUCAAUGUUGUUAAGUAAGAAGAGAGGAUGAUGUAUGAGAAAAUCAGUGAAGAUUAGAAAGAUUGAAUUCUUUAUGCUUGGUAUGAUGAAAAAAAAAGGCUUAGCAUACGUGUAGUACAUAUAUUAAAGGAAUAAAAGAUUCAGAUAUUGUAAUCAAGGACGAGUAGACAAUAAUAAUGUGAUGGAAUAUUCAGGCUAUAUUUUGGAUGUGAGUAUCUCAACGGAAGAAGUGAUAUUGGAAACGUUGUAUAUUAAGAAAAACAAAAAGGUUGGUUAAGUGAUGGAUUAGGAAUGAAGCAAUUAUGUUGGAACUCAACGUAAGAAAUUGAGAUUUGUGUAAUAGUUGUGUCAUUAAUGACGUGAUUUCGAUGUGUAUCGGUAAGAGUUUGAGGACCUUAUCGGCAACCGAGUAUGGCGAUGAUAAAUUUAAAACUAUGGUUUGGAUAAGAUUUGGACGUGAACGUAUAAGGAUUAAGAGGAAUGUAAAGACUUAUGGAAAAUCGUGAAGUUGUGAAAUCCCUAUGGAGAUGAGAUUUAUUUGGAACAUAAUGGAUUAAAGAGUACUUAUGGUGGAAUAUUUCUUUUCGGAUGUUUCGUUAUUAGGAAAGCACUAUUGUAGAUUGACAAAGAUGGUUUAUGCCACCAUCAUGGUUGUUGUCUAUCUAUUAACAAAUUGAGGGAAUGGCCACCCUUGAUCUCUUGUUAAUGAGUAGACAAAAUCGUGUGACCGGAAUGGACUAGUUUUGUCAAACUUUGGUAGUGUAUAGAGUUUGAGUGUUUUGUUGGAGAAUCGGAUAAAAAGAUUUCGUCUAGGAUUGUCUUAGUCGGACAAUUUUCGAGGGCGAAAAUUCUUUUAAGUGGGGGAGAGUUGUAACGCCCCAUAUUUUAUUAAAUUAUUUAUUUGUGUGAUUAAUUGAUUAUGUGUUUAAAUUGUAUUAUUAUUUAGUUAGUUACUAAGUAUGAUUAUGCAUGUUAGUUAGUCAUAAGUUAUUUGGUUGCUAGAAUAGUGGGCUUAUGGUUAUUAGACUUGGAGAGAGUUAAAUGAAGGGUAUUGUGGUAAUUGGAUGAUACUUUAAGGGUUUUAAUUUGUCUUAAAUAAGAGAAAAGAGAGGAAGAAAGAGAAGAGAGAAAAGAAAGAAAAAGAGAAAGAAUGAGAGUAGAGAAACAAAUCCCGUUUUCCAUGCAUCAGCUCCACUAAAUCUUCGNNNNNNNNNNNNNNNNNNNNNNNNNNNNNNNNNNNNNNNNNNNNNNNNNNNNNNNNNNNNNNNNNNNNNNNNNNNNNNNNNNNNNNNNNNNNNNNNNNNNUUUUGGGUUUUGGGUUUUAAUUGAGGGAAAUUGGGAAUGUGUUAUUAUAGAUUUUUAUGUUGAAUCACAUGUUGAUAAAUGUUUAUCCAUGAUUUGAUGAUGUUAUAAUAUGAUAAAAAUCUAUGUUUUUAGUUGUUGUUGUUGUUGUUGAUGAUUGUUGUUAUUUGGGUAUUUCCAUGUUUUGAUAAAAGUAGUGAUGAAUAUUGUUGAUUCUCAUGAUCAAUGUAAAUUGUUGUCUUCCAAGUGUUUGUUAAAAAUGUGUAAAUGAAUGAAAUGUACUAAAGGUAGAAUUUAAGUUAACCUACCUUUUGAUAGUUUGGAAAAUCGCGUGUAUGUACCGAUACCUAGGAGUGUAUGUAUUGAUACAUACAUGUGUGAAUUAUGUAGAAACUUGGAAAUAACGAACUUGUACCGAUACAAGUUGUGUUUUGUAUCGAUACAAGACCUUGUUUUAACUUGAAAAUGCUUUACAAACCUAUGUUGGUGUGGAUUAAUUCUAAUUUUCCUUGGAUUAGUAGAUCUUGAUGAUUAAUCUAUGUUGAUUAAAUUAUGAUGUU
Molecule: long non-coding RNA, 3008 nt
Filed under: Trifolium pratense (red clover)
Lineage: Eukaryota; Viridiplantae; Streptophyta; Magnoliopsida; Fabales; Fabaceae
Description: long non-coding RNA (TPRA_LNC002418)
Source: RNAcentral